AUUAAUCUGGUUUGAGAGUACUGCUAAUGAAGGCCAGUUCUCUGACAUUUCAUUAGAAGGAAAUACACUAUUUUGCUAGAAAGGGUUUCAUUGCAAACACAAGCUUUUAGGCUUCUGAUUAGAUAGCUGAUUUACGGAAAUACUUGUUAGGAGAAAAUAGUCCUAACUUGUGCCGCUUUGAAUGGGGCCUUGAAGUGGAGUGUGUGUCCGUAGGGGUACUUGGGUUACUCAGAUUGAUAAUCCUUGUACUCAAGUUUAUGGAAUGAUCUACUGACUGUGUUUUAUACGUAGCAUCCUGCUGAACUAAUUGCAACAUUGAUGUAAUCACACCCUCAUAGUUCAAGAAGUUCUAGAGGCAUUUCUAAUGAUCCUUCUGCUGCUAUUCCUUCAACUGAAGGAAAGUCUCCUUUUUCUUCCAGUGUUUCUGCUCAGCUUCCUUGGAUAUAUGUUCCACACCCAGGCCAAGUAAGGGCUGUCAAGGGCAAACUUUGUGUCUCGCCAGAAGCUCCCUGAAGGUGCCCCCUGCCUCUUGCUUGUAUCUGGCAGUUGCUGAGAAACCUGUGAUCUUCCCACUCCAAUUUGCCACAGUACAGCUUUUCGUCUCUGGACCAUCUUGCUGCCUUUGCUUUUCUCGAUGAAGUUGUGAAAGUCGCAAUGGCAUCUACAAACAACUGAAAGUUUUACUGGAACUGAAAUCAACAGUAGCUGGUACAGCUACUGCACCCAAGCCAGAAGACUAAAGGCCCAGAAAGUUCUGGCGUUACAAGUGAAGAAUGACUUACUGCUUACUCUCCAGCAGGAAAGGGUCAAGCAAACAAAGAACAGCCCAAAGUCGUUGCAGGUCUGGCAGCAGCACAAGCAGGCUGAUGAGCCCACUGGCUGCAGCAGAGGAACCCAGAAACAGGCAGCAGGAUUGAGGUGGGGUCCGUGGCACAAAGCACUGCCAAAGGCAGCUCUGCAGACCCUCUGGAUCAGGAUGCGCAGGGUCAUCACGUGGGCACUCCUUUUGCUAUUGAGAAACACAGAGAGAUCAUUGAAUCUCCUGCAUCCAGCAAAGGGGAUGUUUUUGAGGAAAACCCUGUUAAUAGCCACAAGCUGUUUUGUGCAGAUAUUAAGACUCCUGAAGAAUUUCUUCCAAGACAGACCCUUACCCAGGCCCCAGGGCCAGAAAUUGUAUUUUUCCCUUGAGAGGCGCUGCCCCAGUGAAAGCUCAGGUCCAAAAAGUGCAUCUCAGCAGACUCACAGGAGAGUCUUUGAUUUUUUUCACAUGGCAAGAAUGCCUGGAAAUAUAUGUGAAGGCCAGUAG
This 1306-nucleotide long non-coding RNA is filed under the name Calidris pugnax (ruff). Its description in RNAcentral is "lncRNA (ENSCPUG00000013705.1)". Lineage: Eukaryota; Metazoa; Chordata; Aves; Charadriiformes; Scolopacidae. The record is from RNAcentral.